CCCUUAGAUGUCCUGGGCUGCACGCGCGCUACACUGAUGUGUCCAGUAAGCACCUAACCUCUUCCGAAAGGAACGGGUAACCUUUGCAAAGCACAUCGUGAUGGGGAUAGAUUAUUGCAAUUAUUAGUCUUGAACGAGGAAUUCCUAGUAAGCACAAGUCAUCAGCUUGUGUUGAUUACGUCCCUGCCCUUUGUACACACCGCCCGUCGCUCCUACCGAUUGAAUGUUCCGGUGAGCUCUUCGGACUGCGCGGUCUGCAGUUUCUGCGUUCCGUGCGGAAAGUUGCGCAAACCUUAACAUUUAGAGAAAGGAGAAGUCGUAACA
RNAcentral lists this ribosomal RNA (324 nucleotides) under uncultured eukaryote. RNAcentral's name for it is "partial 18S ribosomal RNA". It matches the Rfam family "Eukaryotic small subunit ribosomal RNA", at positions 1470 to 1796 of the family's 1831-position model. The record is from RNAcentral.